UGGGGAGUUUGGCUGGGGCGGCACA
This 25-nucleotide non-coding RNA is filed under the name Drosophila melanogaster (fruit fly). The record is from RNAcentral. Lineage: Eukaryota; Metazoa; Arthropoda; Insecta; Diptera; Drosophilidae. RNAcentral also lists the same sequence under 5 other names.